UUGAUAUCAGGUAAGAGUACCCACUGGAUUUAAGCAUAUAACUAAGUGGAGGAAAAGAAACUAACAAGGAUUCCCCUAGUAACGGCGAGUGAAGCGGGAAGAGCUCAAUCUUAAAAUCUCUAUAUUAAAUUGUAGUGAAUUGUAGUCUAUUGAAUUGGUUUUGCAAUGAACAUAUGGAAAAGUCCCUUGGAAGAGGGCAGCAUAGAGGGUGAUACUCCCGUCUUUGCCGUAUGAUUUAUUGUAUUAAUUCCUCUUUCAUUGAGUCGAGCUGCUUGGGAAUGCAGCUCAAAGCAGGUGGUAAAUUCCAUCUAAAGCUAAAUAUGUGUGUAAGACCGAUAGCGAACAAGUACCGUGAGGGAAAGAUGAAAAGAACUUUGAAAAGAGAGUUAAACAGUACCUGAAACUGCUGAAAGGGAAUCGGAUUGUUGCCAGUGUGAUCCAAUACAUAUUUCAAUAGUGAGUAAUCGUUGUUGCCCUGUGUGUUGGUGUGAUGUUAGGGUCAAUUGAUUUUGCAAGAAAUUGGUAAGAGGGAGGUAGGUGAUAUUUUCGGAUAUGACUAUUAUAUUCUUUUGCUAGUGUUGUGAAUGAGAUUGAGGAAACAAUGUGCAAUUUAUUUACUUUUCAUCUUUUUUGACUUAUUUAUUUUACAGCUUGCUGUUAUUUAAGUAAUGUUUUGAGAAACUUGAUAUGUAGACAAUGCCAUUCGGGACCCUGACAAAAUGGAGCAAUCUGUCCCGUCUUGAAACACGGACCAAGGAGUCUAACAUGUAUGCAAGUAUUUAAGUGGUAAACUUAAAUGCAUAAUGAAAGUGAAUUAAAGCAUUUAGCUUUAUAAGGUAGGAAGAGUUUUACUCUGCACUAUCAACCGAUCUAGAACCUUCGGGUAAAAGAUUUGAGUAUGAGCAUGUAUGUUGGUACCCGAAAGAUGGUGAACUAUGCCUGAAUAGGGUGAAGCCAGGGGAAACUCUGGUGGAGGCUCGUAGCGGUUCUGACGUGCAAAUCGAUCGUCAAAUUUGGGUAUAGGGGCGAAAGACUAAUCGAACCAUCUAGUAGCUGGUUCCCUCCGAAAUUUCCCUCAGGAUAGCA
Molecule: ribosomal RNA, 1086 nt
Filed under: Eurychasma dicksonii
Lineage: Eukaryota; Oomycota; Myzocytiopsidales; Eurychasmataceae
Description: eukaryotic LSU rRNA
Rfam family: Eukaryotic large subunit ribosomal RNA
Source: RNAcentral